Long non-coding RNA from Ursus maritimus (polar bear), 4039 nucleotides. Lineage: Eukaryota; Metazoa; Chordata; Mammalia; Carnivora; Ursidae. The record is from Ensembl.
GCCAGCCUCCGUGCAAGCUGCUGUCUGGAAAAGCAGGGGCGACGUCAGAUGUAUCAUCACAAGAUACUUCCCAAGAUAAACAGACUUUUUUUUUCUGACUCCUGCUUUUCCAGCUGAGGCCUGGCUGUUUCCUCUUUCUUCUUUUAAAACAAUCUUUCUUGAAGGCGUUUCUCUUCUUUCCUGCCUUUGAGUGAUAGGGCUGACAUCUGGGAAGAAGGCAGUGAUCUCCUCCUUCAAAGGGUACAUCUCCAUCAGACCUGAAAGUUGUUUAAAAUAAGAUGCUGCCGCUGGAGCUCGGAGUCAAGGUGUGGAGUGCACAAGCCAGACUUCUGGCUCCCGGGGGACUGGAAAUAAGAACGCGGUGCCAGUGAAGAAGAGGACACAUGAAGGCUUGCCCUCCCCCGUGGAAACUCAUCCCUCCCCCCCUGUGUGUAUGUGACGGCGUGUAUGUAGCGGCUUCUGCGUUCUGUGAAAGCUGCCCAGCAACAAACGUACUUCCACCGGAUCCAUGCCCAGAUCCACAGCAGGCACAUAUCUCUCCAAGGGAUGACCGAUCUUAUUGUGACUGACUGUGCUUUUCGUUCUCUUGUUGUGGUAUACCGUCCUUUCCCUCCAGCUGGAACCCUUCUUCCCAUGGCACCCCGACACAGGCCUUCAGCCCCACCCCCACACUCAGGCUCUCCCCUCUCAAGUACCAUGAGCAGAGAUGUACCACGGUUUGGCUUCCAGCCUUUCCCCCUUGCCAAGUCACAUUUCCUUACAACCAAGUUUUCUCCUCCCAGGUAAGCAGCUAUUACCAGCGAACACCAACCUGCCAGUUAAAGAGCCUGCAUUUUCUGAAACAUCAGUUUUACUGAAAUGGUUUGUAGUCGAGGGAUGACCUUAUUUUUAGAUAAAACAGCUACAUUAUGAAAUAGAGUAUUCAUACACACAGUUAAGAUAAAAUGGGACACUUCACAGGGAAUUCUUAUUUGCAAGUGGGGUACAUGUUCCCUGUCCUCUGCCUUUAGUGGUAUUUUGGUGUUCACUUCUGAGAAGUACAAUCGCUACUGUAUCCAGGCAGCUGACCAGGGCCUAGACCCUUAGUCGCCCGCACAGGGAGAAGCCCCUCUCCUGCUGCCCGCCUGCCUGCGACCUUUGUACCCAUCUCAGAGCGUUAGGGCCAGCGGGUGUGUGCGUGUGUGCAGGAUGGUUCUGAGGCAGAAACAGUACUUUAGGAACCCUGUCUAUGUCAUUGUUCAGUACUGUGCGUGCUAUAAAAUUCUUUGAGGCCAGGAAGCUACCAGGUGUAUAUGCUUCUGGGUUAAGAUUAUCUUAGCUCUCUAAAUAUGUUAGGAUGUUAGGACUGAGAGUGCUUUGGGCUAUUUAAAAAAAAAAAAAGUAUUUUUCUCUCAAACUGGUGGCCAACAAAUGGCUCAGACUGUUUCUCGGUGCUUUACCUAUCUGCCUGCAAAGACUGGAGAAUUUGGCAUACCACUAGUUACAACCCCCAACCAUAUCCCACAGAACUAUCCAUAAAGAAGGACCAGGGGCCACUCUUAUAAGAGUUUAAAAGCCAGAAGAUGAAGAAGACUUUAGGAUCUGGAUGCUUGUGUUUGUCUUUCCCCAAUAAUUAUUGUUUAAUCUCCAAAUAGCAGCCUUAUCUUCACAAUGGACAGACCAUUGGCUCCUCCCUUCCUGAUUGUAUGUUAUUACUUAAAAUCAGUAUUUGGGAAACCCAGGCAUUUAUGCAGUGGAUAUGAACAGAAAUCUAAAAAUACAUGCCAGCUUGUCUCAAUAUAUUAUCAUAUCUCUGUGAUCCUCAAGGAAAGCACUUUUGCUUUUACUUAAGAUUUCAGAUUUGCUUUAUGGGCUCCUGCUGUCUCCAGCACCUGAUAAAACUUUAACCAGGGAAGCAUUAAACACGGCACAGCAGCUUCUGCCCCGGCUCCUGAGUCCCCGCCAGCAGCAUUUAGCGGUGUAAGAACCGGGGUGCUUCCUGCCGUGGCACCAGCUUCCCCCAGAGCUGGAGCGCGCUGCUCUGCCCUAAGCGCCAGCAGGAUGCGGCUUCCCUCCUGCCAGGUCAGUAAAAGUAAGAGAGCUCGGAAGCUCACCAGCUGCAGGCUUCAGGUUUGCAGAAGUCCCCGGGGAGAAGUCAUCAAGGGCGGCAGGUAAUGAAUGUCUCCAGAAUGAGUUGGGUCCUCACAGCAAUCCCUGGCUGCUUUCCAAAUCUGGGUUCUCUGGAGGCUGAGAGUGGGUUUGUCCUUUGAUUUGGUGUCAAGAAAUGCAGGGCAAUUCCAAGAAGUUCUCUUAGGAGUCUCAGCUCUGACAGCCCAGGAGGGGAAAUGACCUGUAUUGAGGACCAGCUGUGAGCUGGGCCCUGUAUUUGGCCCCCAUUUGUUAGAUGAUAGAACAGAUGUGGAGUAAUAGAGCCCCUUGCCUUGAGUGACACAGCUAGGAAAUGCUGGAGCUCUCCCUCACUUCGUGGUGGUCCGUGGUACAUCUACAGUCCGGAGGGAGGAAAAGGCUUCCGGUUCCCCCACUGCAGUCUGACUAUCCCACCUUAUGGAUUCGUUUUCAAAGUUACAUUUCAUGGCUACCGUUUGGGCUCAGAAAUGGCAUCAAGGUGGCCUCCCUCUUCCACCUUAGCAGGUAUAUGAAGUAUACAUUGCUAACUUGAGCUUGCCCCCAGGAGCUGGGGCAGCCUUUCCUUUUUGGUGCCAUUCCCCAUAAAUAGUGUUUCUAGGCCUUCAAGAGUAUAGAAGUUCUCAGAAAUAGUAAAAGCAGAGGGUGUUCUGCUCUCUAAGUUUAUCCAAAAAUGUCUGGUGCUGCAAUCCUACAGAACAGGAAAUCUUCAGAUUUGAGCCCAGCCAGUGCUGUGCUCUGAGAGGCUGUGUUAACUCCGAGUCGCUGAUGUGUGUAUGUGCGCACACGAUAUGCACGCAUAUGUGUAUACACACACACGCAUGCAGUUUAAGAACUAAGGGGAAUUCAGAGCAGCUGCUCGUUGCCAUUACCCCUGCAGAGGUUUCUGCCAGCCCUGAUCACAAGCGUCCCCAGAUAGUCGGAGCCUCGGUGCUUGCCCCUUGGCGAAGGUUGUCAGCUCCUAAGCCAUCGUGGCAGCCCUGAGGGGACUUGCCCAGGCCUGCUCCAAUGUGUCUAAGGGUUUGGGAAAUUUGGAUGACCCGGGGGUCUGCCCACUCAGGUCAGGCCUGAAGGCACAGCUGCUGAGUUUAUGACUUGUGGUCGUGGCAGGGCAUAGGAAAUCCCCUCGCCCACCUAGAAAAUAUUCCCUUGCCAAUACCCGAAUUCCAUACUCACACAAUGGCCGCUCAGUACAUGCUUUGUAAUAAGAACAUCGGUUGCAUGUUUACUCUGUGCCUAGCACAUCUGAAAUUUUCUAUUUAAAACACAAAUCUCAUUAUGAAUGACCUCGGCCCAGCCUUAGGAGAGAAAGAAGGCCCAUAGGGGAGAGUUGAGAUCUCGUUACUGUUGCCUCUACCCAGCAGCAUUCUGAAGACCCCACCCCAGCCCAUUCCGAGACCCAGAGGCCCAGGGGACCUGCCUGGUAGAACAGUAGCGUUGGGAACUGAGAACACACCCGAAACAGCAGAGCAAGUGCCAGAGCAGGAAAAGGAAAACGAAUUAAGACACUUGUGGGCAUGCUGGUGCACAAAAUGCCACAGAGCCCAUGCUGGGCUUGAUGUGACCUUGAGGGGACAGUAGAUUGACAUUAAUGGGAGUCAAAUCUGACCAGUCUUUGUACAGUGACAGGCCACACUGCAUGGGGGUGGGGGGGACAGCCGACGAACCCAUUGUCCUCUGCCUGUUUUCCCGUGCACAGUCACAUUCCCUCCUUAGUCACCUUCCCCUUUCACCCUUCAUAUUAAACAAGGGAACACUCGAUCUUUCAAGGGAAUUACACAUUUGAGUUAAUGUUUCAGUAUAUCAUUUUCAUACUGUAAAUUAUUUUGUAAGAGAGAUUUACCGCUAUCCCAGGAUGUUUGGACUCCGCACCCCUGUGCAUUUGGAAAUCAAUAAACUAUUACUGGAAAUGCCA